Molecule: ribosomal RNA, 301 nt
Filed under: uncultured bacterium
Lineage: Bacteria
Description: partial 16S ribosomal RNA
Rfam family: Bacterial small subunit ribosomal RNA
Source: RNAcentral
CAGUCGCCGCGGGAAUACGUAGGGUGCGAGCGUUAAUCGGAAUUACUGGGCGUAAAGCGUGCGCAGGCGGUCGUGUAAGACGGGUGUGAAAUCCCCGGGCUUAACCUGGGAACUGCGCUUGUGACUGCACAGCUAGAGUAUGGCAGAGGGGGGUGGAAUUCCACGUGUAGCAGUGAAAUGCGUAGAGAUGUGGAGGAACACCGAUGGCGAAGGCAGCCACCUGGGCCAAUACUGACGCUCAUGCACGAAAGCGUGGGGAGCAAACAGGAUUAGAUACCCCUGUAGUCCCUGUCUCUUAUAC